Molecule: long non-coding RNA, 2161 nt
Organism: Macrobrachium nipponense
Lineage: Eukaryota; Metazoa; Arthropoda; Malacostraca; Decapoda; Palaemonidae
Exons: 4
Source: RefSeq, a predicted model, not a curated record
AACGGCUAAUGUUGGCUCCGUGUAAUUAGUGCUCGGACCUUUGAUAAACCCUUGCGCGCACUGGUCCGUUCUUUGCAGUUCUUGAUUUUCUCUGGUGAUUUCUGAAGCUAAUUUAUUUUGGGCGCGCCCUAUGGCCUCGAGAGCAUCCAAGGAAUGCAUCGUCUGCAACGAAGACUUCUCCGAAGCCUCGCACUGCCCCAAGAUCCUGCCGUGCUUCCACUGCCUCUGCGCGCCUUGCAUAGAUGCCAUGAUCGCCAACGGCUGUAGAUCGUGCCCGAUCUGUCGCAAAGACUUCCGAGCAAAGGCCGCCAGUGAGCUGGGGACGAACUUCAACCUGCUGUACGUCCUGCAGUACGUGAGCGAGCUCGAGCAGUCUCGAGAAUCGUCGUCCAGUCAGAAGCUGAACGAAGAGAGCAUCGCGAAUUGCAGAAGAGCGGCUCGGCACCUGGACCACGCCAUGGACUGCAUCGCCGGUCUGAGGGCCGCCGCGACGCUCGCCGACGGCAGGUUAGACGCCGUCCUCGACGCGCUGAAGGAGAUGAAGGCGAGGAAUGGGAAAUUGUUGCGGACUCUCUCAGAGGACAGCACCAGGAUGCAGACGCAGGCAAACAGAAUUGCCGAUCGAGAGAAGUUCUUCGUGGGCUUGGGCGAGAUGAUGGACACAGGGAUGGGGAAUGUUUCCCCUCGAAGUCCCUCCGUGGAAACUGUCAAGAAAUUGAACACUGCCCUCAAAGGACUCAUGGAGGAUAUGAAGAGCCUUCUGAAUGACUGGGAAAGGAAACGCUUUAGUGCCCAGAAGGACAUAGAGAGAAGAAAGAACGCGAUCGACGUCAUAGAAGAAAUUUUGAUGUCCAGUGAGAGAGACGAAGGGAUAUGACGAGGUCACGCUCGAAGUGUUCUUCCAACUCGAGAUGUCCCCGACGAAGUCGUUUUCGAGGUCGUCCUCGAAGCUGAUGUACGUCCUUCUUGAGGGACCUCUCUCGCCACAGGAGGAAGGCGUCUAUAUAGACGUCAUCCUUGAGUGGCGUGACUGCUAACGUCUCUCGGGAGAUCACUGUUGUGUUGAGGAGGUCAUCCUCGAAAAGGACGUCAGUGAAGAGGUCCUCUUCGAGGGAAAGCCCUUAUUGCUUGGAAAGAUGCCGCAGAAGAGACUACCCGUUUGAACGCUUCUUUUGCUUACUAUUGUAAGGUUAUGAACGCUUUCCUCAAACCUACAGUGUUCUACUAAUAUAAUUCGUAAUGUGUGUAUGUCGAUCACCUUUUUUCGUGGACUGUGUAUGUCUGUAUCUCAACUACUUUUCGUGACCAGUGAUUGUAGAGUAACUUUUUUUCUAUAAUAAAGGUUGUACCACCCUCCAUUCAUCUCUUUCUUCCGUCUUGCUGUUCACCCCCCGCUAACAAUCAGUUCAUUGUGCAACUGCGAGAUUUUCCUCCUGUUCCACCUUUCAAACCUGCCUAUACCCUCAAUGUCCUUUCCAGCUCUGAAUGACCUCAUAGGUCCCCGUGCUUGGCCUUGGCCUAAAUUUUAUAUUCCAUUCCAUUCAUAAAGAUGACCUCACCUAUGUGUAUUAGAAUCAUCCUUUUCGUGACCUAUGAUUUGUGAUAAUGAGGCAGUCAGGUCAAGUAUUGGGGCACUCUGGGCCAUUCGGCGCUGAAGACAGUGACAAGAGGGGGUUUGAGAGGUUGGACUGCCACACUGACAGCCAGAAAAUGAAGGAGACGGAGCACAAGGUUCUAAAAGUGGAUGGCAUCUCUGAGGUGAUUUGCUUUGUUGAAUUGCCAACAGUAUUACUUCUGUUAUUACUUUGGAGUGGUCGGAAUUAUUGUAUGAAUAGUGUUUAUAUAAAUAUUGAUUAAUCAUUCUUAGUUGACGCCUAAUAAAGCAGGAGUUGGGGCUUGAACAUCUAAAAUUAUAGUAGAUUCACAUCAACCGUUCAUUUGAUGUCUAGGCCAGUCCCUUACGACGCUCCUGAUUGGCUGUUGACAAGCCAAUCACAGGGCUGGAAACUCUCAGUCUCCCGAGAGAGUUCACAUACGCAGAGGAACCUUACACCCGACUAGGACUUCGCAUUUCUGCAUGGAACCUCUUUCGGCGACGGAUAAAAUACGUUACAUCCUUCAGUGGACUUCCAGGAUACAUCUGUCUAGAAUCUGCUUCAUG